GCGGCGGGAGCGGCGGGAGCAGCUGCUGCAGCUGGCAGGUGGGGUGGGGGCCGGCCGAACUGACCAAGCACAGACCCGGCGCGGCGGCACUGCGGCCCCGGGGCAGCCGGCGCGGGGACAUGCGCUGAUUCGAUCCCUCCGGAGAAGGCUCCGGACGUGCAGGUUCAGCAGCCAUGGCUCAUGGGCACAGCCCACUCUGCGGCAUAUGGGAUCCUCCCGGACCGGGGCACGAACCCGCAUCCCCUGCAUCGGCAGGCGGACUCUCAACCACUGUGCCACCAGGGAAGCCCAGAUCUUCAUUUUUUUAAGGACCUAAACUGGGAGCUCUUCAUUAGCACUGGCACAAAGGCUGCUGAGAUGACUAGGAAGCAAGUGCCAAGGAGGAUAGUGAAUCAAAGAACCUUGAUUCAUGGAAAAGGAAUCCCAGAAGGAGCUCUAAACGUUACACAUUCCAAAGGAUUUAUUCAGGGUUUUCCAAUCAAAAUCAUUUUUACAAAAAAGAAACAGUUCUCAGACUUCAAGUAGUAUACUGCCAAGUAUGUGGAAGAACAUUGCCAGCAGUUGAGUGGUGUGGUCUGCUUUGAAAUAUAUUCAGUUUGCUUAGGAUGGACAUAUGUCUACUUCAAAGUUACUAUUUCUUUCUAGUAAUGCUGUCUACAGUACUGUAUUUGCUUUUGGCAAGUUAAGAAAACAAUGACAUCCCUCCCAGGUUCU
Long non-coding RNA from Mesoplodon densirostris (Blainville's beaked whale), 714 nucleotides. RefSeq lists it as uncharacterized. NCBI's taxonomy places the organism in Eukaryota, Metazoa, Chordata, Mammalia, Artiodactyla, Ziphiidae. The transcript has 3 exons. The record is from RefSeq and is a predicted model, not a curated record.